This 253-nucleotide ribosomal RNA is filed under the name uncultured bacterium. Its description in RNAcentral is "partial 16S ribosomal RNA". It matches the Rfam family "Bacterial small subunit ribosomal RNA", at positions 524 to 776 of the family's 1533-position model. The record is from RNAcentral.
UACGUAGGGGGCAAGCGUUGUCCGGAAUCAUUGGGCGUAAAGCGCGCGUAGGCGGCCCGGUAAGUCCGCUCUGAAAGUCCAGGGCUCAACCCUGGAAAGCGGGUGGAUACUGCCGGGCUAGAAUCCGGAAGAGGCGAGUGGAAUUCCUGGUGUAGCGGUGGAAUGCGCAGAUAUCAGGAGGAACACCAAUAGCGAAGGCAGCGCGCUGGGACGGUAUUGACGCUGAGACGCGAAAGCGUGGGGAGCGAACAGG